This 251-nucleotide ribosomal RNA is filed under the name uncultured prokaryote. RNAcentral describes it as "partial 16S rRNA". It matches the Rfam family "Bacterial small subunit ribosomal RNA", at positions 525 to 775 of the family's 1533-position model. The record is from RNAcentral.
ACAGAGGGUGCUAGCGUUAUUCGGAUUCACUGGGCGUAAAGGGCGCGUAGGUGGUUUAGCAAGUUUGAUGUGAAAGCCCUGGGCUCAAUCCAGGAAGUGCAUCAAAUACUGCUAGGCUAGAGCAUGGGAGAGGAGGACGGAAUUCCUGGUGUAGAGGUAAAAUUCGUAGAUAUCAGGAGGAACAACAGUGGCGAAGGCGGUUCUCUGGACCAUUGCUGACACUGAGGCGCGAAAGCGUGGGUAGCAAACAG